ACGGGAGGCAGCAGUGGGGAAUAUUGCACAAUGGGCGCAAGCCUGAUGCAGCCAUGCCGCGUGUGUGAAGAAGGCCUUCGGGUUGUAAAGCACUUUCAGCGAGGAGGAAGGUGGUGAGCUUAAUACGCUCAUCAAUUGACGUUACUCGCAGAAGAAGCACCGGCUAACUCCGUGCCAGCAGCCGCGGUAAUACGGAGGGUGCAAGCGUUAAUCGGAAUUACUGGGCGUAAAGCGCACGCAGGCGGU
This 246-nucleotide ribosomal RNA is filed under the name Escherichia coli. RNAcentral's name for it is "partial 16S ribosomal RNA". It matches the Rfam family "Bacterial small subunit ribosomal RNA", at positions 341 to 579 of the family's 1533-position model. The record is from RNAcentral. Lineage: Bacteria; Pseudomonadati; Pseudomonadota; Gammaproteobacteria; Enterobacterales; Enterobacteriaceae.